Molecule: non-coding RNA, 352 nt
Organism: Paramuricea clavata
Lineage: Eukaryota; Metazoa; Cnidaria; Anthozoa; Malacalcyonacea; Plexauridae
Source: the annotation of a GenBank genome assembly
CGGGCAAAGGAUCGAGCGAGCAAUGCUAUGAGGCAACCUCGUACCCAGGAUCCCAAAGAAAUAUCCUGGGUACGAGGUUGGCUAUAUGAGGCUGUAUAAGUAAAAAAGAGCUUGGGUUCCUGAUUCAUUUACUACAAAUUGCAUCGUGUAACUUCGUGAUUAUAAUCUUGACUACAAUAUUCAAUAAGUUCCUUUCUUGUGUCUAUUUCCUGUAUUUCUGUUUCCAUGUAGUUGCAGGAAUUGUUUUCUUUUCAUAAAUGCAGCUUGCAUGAAUUUAUUUUCAAAUCUCCCCCGAUCCAAGAUAUCUAAUGGUCCAGCCCUAACCAUUGAACUAUAAGUAAACUGGAAGGGG